Molecule: ribosomal RNA, 319 nt
Filed under: uncultured eukaryote
Lineage: Eukaryota
Description: partial 18S ribosomal RNA
Rfam family: Eukaryotic small subunit ribosomal RNA
Source: RNAcentral
CCCUUAGAUGUUCUGGGCAGCACGCGCGCUACAAUGGUCUUCGCAAACGGAUGCAUUCUCGAAGGAGAAUGCCAAUCUUGGAAUCUAUGCCUUGGUCGGGACAGUUGCUUGCAAUUUUUCGACUCGAACCAGGAAUUCCUUGUAAUCGUGAUUCAUCACAUCACGAUGAAUACGUCCCUGCCCUUUGUACACACCGCCCGUCGCUCCUACCGAUCGAAGAGUUAGGUGAAUUGUUUUGAUCGAUAAGAUUUGACUAUGGUCAACUCUCGUUGUGAAAUUCUGUGAAUCUGACUGUUUAGAGGAAGGAAAAGUCCUAACA